CUUUUUCAUCUUCAUCCUCCUUGUGAAACUAUUCAGUGUUUUGCUCUUCCUUAAUCCAUCCAUCCUAUUAUUCCCAUGAAACAUAAAUAAUUUGACAUCAAAUCCUUUAGGUUAUGAGUGUUGAAAGAAUCAUGCACACUCUGGAGGAUACAACAGGCAUAGAAGCCAAACAUCCAUGGUCUGCCCAUGCUUCUUUUAUGAUAAAUGUAACCAGCAGCAAUGCAGGGAAUGGGAGAAUGCUGAGUGUAUAUGAAGAUUGGGGACGGAGUUUAUUUGCCUAUUCUUGCUGUUUUAAAGGCGUUGAUAAAGCUAGCCGCAAGGACUGAGUUAGAAGCUUUUAUGGGAAGGGACCAAUAAAUCAGUCCAUGAAGCUAGGAAUCCAUAAGGGGAGCGACUCACCUCCAAUUGAGUUAGCUCUCGGAAGUUUCACAUAAGCUUUUAAAGAAAUUAUAAUAAAAGUAAUAGUUCUUUUAACUACUUUCAAAAGAUUUAUAACAAAUUAUUGUGGUUGUAAUGCUUUGUAAAAAGUUCAUAAAGUUGAGCUAUUCAACAAACAUACUUAUGUGAGUGGCCAAUAAAUAUUUGUAGUCAAUGGACAAUAAAGUUUUGACUUCUAAUUUUUGGAAUA
Long non-coding RNA from Alnus glutinosa, 628 nucleotides. RefSeq lists it as uncharacterized. NCBI's taxonomy places the organism in Eukaryota, Viridiplantae, Streptophyta, Magnoliopsida, Fagales, Betulaceae. The record is from RefSeq and is a predicted model, not a curated record. The transcript is spliced from 2 exons.